This 74-nucleotide transfer RNA is filed under the name Synechococcus sp. Its description in RNAcentral is "tRNA-Pro". It matches the Rfam family "tRNA". Rfam says of the family: Transfer RNA (tRNA) molecules are approximately 80 nucleotides in length. Their secondary structure includes four short double-helical elements and three loops (D, anti-codon, and T loops). The record is from RNAcentral. Lineage: Bacteria; Bacillati; Cyanobacteriota; Cyanophyceae; Synechococcales; Synechococcaceae.
CGGGGAGUGGCGCAGUUUGGUAGCCGCUUGCUUUGGGAGCAAGAUGCCGCAGGUUCGAAUCCCUGUCUCCCCGA